Molecule: long non-coding RNA, 1135 nt
Organism: Vicia villosa (hairy vetch)
Lineage: Eukaryota; Viridiplantae; Streptophyta; Magnoliopsida; Fabales; Fabaceae
Exons: 3
Source: RefSeq, a predicted model, not a curated record
UAAUACAUUAAUUGAAAAAAAAUAAAAGGGGAUUAGGGUUGUUACUCUGUGACGUUUCAGAUUACGUCUUCUUCCUCUCACCGCGAGAACGGCGCCGAAACACUCCCUCACCGAUUCUCUCCGAUCAAGUCUCUCCUCUCUCCUCUCCGAUCAACUCUCCGGCAGCCGUGAAUCAAUGAAAACAGAACAACCUCAUCUCUUCUCUCGACCUCACUCCCGAGUGACAAUGGGCGAUAUGAGCCUCUCUUCCUCGGCAUGAACGGCGAUGACGGCGACGGUGGAGUCUCAUUCUCCGUUUUGCUCUAUAUCUCAACCUCUCAUCCUUCGUCUCUCCCUUUGCCCCAAUCUCUCGUUCGUCUCCGAUUCAAUCCCUCAAUUUCUUGAACGAAAUCGAAGCCGUUAGGAAAUCCAGAGGAAAUCCUCAGAACUCAGGUCAAAGAACGUUGGUUGAAGAUAACACAUGGAAUUUGAAGUUUAUUGAUUAAUGAAGAUGACGAUUGAUGUUGAAUGGUGAACGCUACGAUUCGGUUAUCGUGAAGAUUUUCUGGAAUUGCUAUGAUUAUGGAGAUGAUGAUUGUUGUUGGUGAAUCGGUGAUGAAUCCAGAAAGAAAGAUGCAGGUGAUGUAUGAAGAUUGUUGCGUUGAGAAAGCGGUGAAGAUCUGUUUAUGGUGAUUGAAUCGGAGAGGUGAAAAGGAUGAUGAAGAAGGUGAAUUGAGGGAGAGAUUACGGUGAAGAAAAUUCAGAGGUUGUUGAAGAUGUGGUGAUGAAUUGAAGAGAUGUCGAGAAUUCGAGAUUGGGAGAAGAAGGUUGAAGAAGUGAAGAGAAAGAUGAAGGUGAGUUUGUUACGAUUCAGUUACAGAUUCUUUUGGUUUUAUGUUGAAGUGGGCAGCGGUUGAUGUGCAGGCUUGCGGUUCGGUUUAAUAUCGAACCGGUUUCUCGUUUCCGCCAUGGGGUUUGGCUUCGACAGAAGCUUAUAUUUCCUGUGAACAAAAAUCGGUGAGGCACGGCAUGAAGUUUUGGGAUUGGCAUGGAGAAGCUUGAAACAACUAGAAAUUAGGAUGGGCUUUUUUUAGUGUAAUUCAAAUUUUUUUGUAAUCAUCAAUUGGACUGUAAUUCAGAAUUGUAUGGACUUUGU